RNAcentral lists this ribosomal RNA (1263 nucleotides) under Staphylococcus sp. CGL-R2. Its description in RNAcentral is "bacterial SSU rRNA". It matches the Rfam family "Bacterial small subunit ribosomal RNA", at positions 79 to 1328 of the family's 1533-position model. Lineage: Bacteria; Bacillati; Bacillota; Bacilli; Caryophanales; Staphylococcaceae. The record is from RNAcentral.
UGCUCCUCUGACGUUAGCGGCGGACGGGUGAGUAACACGUGGAUAACCUACCUAUAAGACUGGGAUAACUUCGGGAAACCGGAGCUAAUACCGGAUAAUAUAUUGAACCGCAUGGUUCAAUAGUGAAAGACGGUUUUGCUGUCACUUAUAGAUGGAUCCGCGCCGCAUUAGCUAGUUGGUAAGGUAACGGCUUACCAAGGCAACGAUGCGUAGCCGACCUGAGAGGGUGAUCGGCCACACUGGAACUGAGACACGGUCCAGACUCCUACGGGAGGCAGCAGUAGGGAAUCUUCCGCAAUGGGCGAAAGCCUGACGGAGCAACGCCGCGUGAGUGAUGAAGGUCUUCGGAUCGUAAAACUCUGUUAUUAGGGAAGAACAAAUGUGUAAGUAACUAUGCACGUCUUGACGGUACCUAAUCAGAAAGCCACGGCUAACUACGUGCCAGCAGCCGCGGUAAUACGUAGGUGGCAAGCGUUAUCCGGAAUUAUUGGGCGUAAAGCGCGCGUAGGCGGUUUUUUAAGUCUGAUGUGAAAGCCCACGGCUCAACCGUGGAGGGUCAUUGGAAACUGGAAAACUUGAGUGCAGAAGAGGAAAGUGGAAUUCCAUGUGUAGCGGUGAAAUGCGCAGAGAUAUGGAGGAACACCAGUGGCGAAGGCGACUUUCUGGUCUGUAACUGACGCUGAUGUGCGAAAGCGUGGGGAUCAAACAGGAUUAGAUACCCUGGUAGUCCACGCCGUAAACGAUGAGUGCUAAGUGUUAGGGGGUUUCCGCCCCUUAGUGCUGCAGCUAACGCAUUAAGCACUCCGCCUGGGGAGUACGACCGCAAGGUUGAAACUCAAAGGAAUUGACGGGGACCCGCCCAAGCGGUGGAGCAUGUGGUUUAAUUGGAAGCAACGCGAAGAACCUUACCAAAUCUUGACAUCUUCUGACCCCUCUAGAGAUAGAGUUUUCCCCUUCGGGGGACAGAGUGACAGGUGGUGCAUGGUUGUCGUCAGCUCGUGUCGUGAGAUGUUGGGUUAAGUCCCGCAACGAGCGCAACCCUUAAGCUUAGUUGCCAUCAUUAAGUUGGGCACUCUAAGUUGACUGCCGGUGACAAACCGGAGGAAGGUGGGGAUGACGUCAAAUCAUCAUGCCCCUUAUGAUUUGGGCUACACACGUGCUACAAUGGACAAUACAAAGGGUAGCGAAACCGCGAGGUCAAGCAAAUCCCAUAAAGUUGUUCUCAGUUCGGAUUGUAGUCUGCAACUCGACUAUAUGAAGCUG